UGAUGUAUUUUUAUCGUUAAUUAUCGUACUAGAUCUAGUCUAGAUCUAUAUAAAGUAAUUUACUAGAAUUCUAAACUAAACUAAGUUCUAAAACUUAGACUUGUUUAGUUGUUAGUCGAUAUUCAUAUUGUGACAUUGUCGAUAAUAAGUUAGAUCUCUAGACUAACUAAGACUAACUUAGUUAACUUAAGUAACUAGAUUCUAGUCUAACUCUAACUUCAAGUUUAAGUAACUUUAAGUUAACUAAGACUAAACUUUACGUUACUUAGUAGACCACUACAAAAAAAAUGUCACUAAACUUAAAGUACUUAAGCGCUUAAUUGACGAUUUCGGACUUGACUUGUUUGACUUGGACUUGAAUUUGAACUUGACUAACUUACUGAAGUAACUCUAGAGUACUCUAGAGUCUACAAUCUAGUAGUGAACUCUAGUCUAGUCUAAGUUAGAAUUGACUUCAAUACUUAUAAUAAAGACUUAUAGUCUAGCUAGAUCUAGAUCUACUUAUUAUUGUCUUAUACUGACUAAUACUGUCAAUAAUGACUAGUGACAUAGUCAGAGUCAAGUGGCAAAUCUCAUUCUAGUUCUAGGCUGACCAUCGUCUAAAGUCUAGACUAGAGUCUAGAACUAGAGUCUAGUCUAGUGCUGUGUUAUGAUUUUAUGUAAUAUUCAAUUGAAACAUAGACAUAGUUAGUGUAGUCUGUAGAGUGUAGUGACAUACUUGACAAAGUGUCACAUAGAUAGUCACACAUGUCACAUAGAUCUAUAAAUUCUAGUAAUCUAGAUCUAGUAAUUCUAGUUAUAUAUCAUAUGCCCAUAUCAUUGCCAUCAUAGUAGAUACUUCGAUUUUCCGGUCGCGCGAGAUUUUUUUUGGUUACCGGAACCGGUAGUAUUCGUGCGGCAGUAUUUAAGCCGAAAGCAGUGGUGAUUUUGUUCCAGUCUGGUUUUGUCUUCAAAAUCAGACACAAAAGGAUAAUCGGAGCCCUUUGUUUGUUCAAGGAUCGGAUAUCAGUUAAUUCUUUGGAUUUAUAUCAGUGCUUUUCUAUCGUCUUCAUGAAGUUCCAGCGUGUUGAGCAUAGGGAUAAUGUGGGCGUGGCAGGCCUUGAUGUCGAUGUUGUUGACAAUAAGUUUCGAAGGCAUAUGACUGAUGUGAAGAACUUUUGCAGGAAGAUUACCCGCAGCUGGCACCUAGUUGUACCCUACUUGGAUAAAAAAAAUUUCUAUCGAUGCUGCUGGCAAAAAGACACCUAUCCAAGUCCCACGACAGAAUUGAACGACCUAGUAUGGUGAAGAAGUUGCGACCUGAAGGUGAUGUUGAGGCUACUGAAAGGCCAGGUAACACAGAACAACACUGUGCUUGUUGUUGCAGAAAAGCGGUUAGUCUUUUAAGGGCUUUUUGGCAAGAUGUUGACUGGACCGUGGAUGACACUGAUCUACAAAAUGAAAGAUGAAACAUUUUAAAGAUACCAUUUAUGCAGCUAUUAUAUUUAUUCUCUUGUUUUCUAGAUCUCUCAUGUGAAGGUCUGCAUUGACAAACUAAAGCCACUAAAGGCCAUUGUGGAUUCUCCAGAGAAUCUCCUUUCAAUACUAACUGAUUGCUUUGGCCAGACUCUGGAUACUGAAGAUCUCGUUCUGAAAACCCUGAGAAAUGUGACUGUUGAUGAAGUAUUUAUCGAGAUCACUAAAAAACUUGCUGAAGGUUUUUGUAAGGUGCUACAGAGACAGUACUUCAAUUGAUAAUUUCCAACAACAAACAAAUCCAUUAUGUGCUUAGCCAUCAAAUAGUUAGAUAUAUUUUAUUUUAAGGGAACAUGUUGCAUAUCUGGGAUGUUAUUUAUUUAAUGUGAAAAAUAUAAUUUCACAAUACAGCUGAUAAUUGUGCUAUGAACCAUUUAUAUUAAGUCUUGAUAAUUUUACCUUUUCAGCAAGCCUACAUUGGUAUGCAUUAAAAGUAUUUAUUCUAUUUCAGCAAAACAGAUAGGGUACACCCAAACAAUGUUCAUCUUCAAACAAUCAUGCAUGAUCCUCGCAAGCUUUGGAUACUGACGUACAUUUGCAAACGCACUCAGACUGAUGACAUCAAGAAAUCUAUAUUUGUUAUUUACAUUAUAU
Biomphalaria glabrata is the source of this 2109-nucleotide long non-coding RNA. RefSeq lists it as uncharacterized. The transcript has 3 exons. Lineage: Eukaryota; Metazoa; Mollusca; Gastropoda; Planorbidae. The record is from RefSeq and is a predicted model, not a curated record.